This 253-nucleotide ribosomal RNA is filed under the name uncultured bacterium. RNAcentral's name for it is "partial 16S ribosomal RNA". It matches the Rfam family "Bacterial small subunit ribosomal RNA", at positions 524 to 776 of the family's 1533-position model. The record is from RNAcentral.
CACGUAGGAUGCGAGCGUUAUCCGGAUUUAUUGGGCGUAAAGCGCGUGUAGGCGGUUCGGAAAGUUGGAUGUGAAAGCUCCUGGCUUAACUGGGAGAGGUCGUUCAAUACUACCGAACUAGAGGAUGAGAGAGGAAGAUGGAAUUCCGAGUGUAGUGGUGAAAUGCGUAGAUAUUCGGAGGAACACCAGUGGCGAAAGCGAUCUUCUGGCUCAUAACUGACGCUCAGACGCGAAAGCUAGGGUAGCAAACGGG